CUCUCUCGCUCGGAGCUGGUGACGCAUGCUCACCGAUUCACGGAGGCGCUGACGACUGAUCGUGUGGGGCGCAAUGCGUGAGCUGUAGCUCAUCCGCGCGCAUAAAAACAAAACUCCGUCGCGUGGUGUGGCAUACGGUUUCCUGGGGCGAUCAUCUGGCACAAUCCUUUUGGCAUUACUGCGAUGGAAUUCCUCCAACCACAUGUGGUUCGGAUUCGGAGUGAGAUGAGUAACGCUUCCCAGUGUGGAAGACAUUCGAGAUCCUGGCGAUAAACUGGGGGAGACGUGUGUAGCAAAGAUCCAUUCGGCCAUUGGAUACAACGCGAUGGCAAACGGGGCUGGAAUUUUGUCCAUCCGGCUGAAACGAAUGACAUCCAUACAACAUAAACAGCCAGAGUCGGAGGCGGCUCGUUCCCGGGUAAAAAGAGACACCUGGCAUCAGCUGCGAACACGAUGCGGACAUUGAGUGCGAGCGAAGGAGUUGUGAACGAUAGGGUACGUGAAACCGGCACUGGAAACAGUUGUUUGGAUUGUAAAGUGAUACAUCUAUCGUACAGAUAGUGUGUUGUUCUGUGCUGACUUGCGUUGCUACCUCAUCCAGUCUGAUUUUGAUUCUAUAGACAUAUGUCCUCAGAAAUAACUCGAUAACCGUUGCAAACCACUACCUUGCUUGAGGCCAGUAAUAACAGAAUAUUUUAUUUGGAUGACAGGGGUAGGGGUAGUGUUGAUGCACUUGACAUCCAACUGUUACAAGCACGCAUCGUUUGCCAAUUUUUAUCAAUCUCCUAUACCAUUUUGGGAACUUGAUUUAAACGGACGCUCCCUCGUGCGUGUGCGUCGUAAAAGUAUAAUGCGGUUAAUGUGCAUGGCUACCAUGCACCAUUUUCGUAUUCCGCUUUACAAAUCGGACGUGGACCACCUCGUAGUCCAGUG
This is a long non-coding RNA of Anopheles stephensi (Asian malaria mosquito), 933 nucleotides long. RefSeq lists it as uncharacterized. Lineage: Eukaryota; Metazoa; Arthropoda; Insecta; Diptera; Culicidae. The record is from RefSeq and is a predicted model, not a curated record. The transcript has 3 exons.